AUACAGAGAGUGCAAGCGUUAAUCGGAAUUACUGGGCGUAAAGCGCGCGUAGGUGGAUACUUUAGUCGGAUGUGAAAGCCCUGGGCUUAACCUAGGAACUGCAUCCGAAACUGGGUGUCUAGAGUAUAGUAGAGGGAAGUGGAAUUUCCGGUGUAGCGGUGAAAUGCGUAGAUAUCGGAAGGAACACCAGUGGCGAAGGCGGCUUCCUGGACUAAUACUGACACUGAGGUGCGAAAGCGUGGGGAGCAAACAGGAUUAGAAACCCCAGUAGUCC
Molecule: ribosomal RNA, 274 nt
Filed under: uncultured bacterium
Lineage: Bacteria
Description: partial 16S ribosomal RNA
Rfam family: Bacterial small subunit ribosomal RNA
Source: RNAcentral